This 75-nucleotide transfer RNA is filed under the name Clostridia bacterium. RNAcentral's name for it is "tRNA-Gln". It matches the Rfam family "tRNA". From Rfam's summary of the family: Transfer RNA (tRNA) molecules are approximately 80 nucleotides in length. Their secondary structure includes four short double-helical elements and three loops (D, anti-codon, and T loops). Lineage: Bacteria; Bacillati; Bacillota; Clostridia. The record is from RNAcentral.
UGGGGUGUCGCCAAGCGGUAAGGCUACGGACUCUGACUCCGUCACUCGUAGGUUCAAAUCCUACCACCCCAGCCA